This 431-nucleotide ribosomal RNA is filed under the name uncultured bacterium. RNAcentral describes it as "bacterial SSU rRNA". It matches the Rfam family "Bacterial small subunit ribosomal RNA", at positions 354 to 777 of the family's 1533-position model. The record is from RNAcentral.
GUAGGGAAUCUUCCACAAUGGGCGAAAGCCUGAUGGAGCAACGCCGCGUGGGUGAAGAAGGUCUUCGGAUCGUAAAACCCUGUUGUUAGAGAAGAAAGUGCGUGAGAGUAACUGUUCACGUUUCGACGGUAUCUAACCAGAAAGCCACGGCUAACUACGUGCCAGCAGCCGCGGUAAUACGUAGGUGGCAAGCGUUAUCCGGAUUUAUUGGGCGUAAAGGGAACGCAGGCGGUCUUUUAAGUCUGAUGUGAAAGCCUUCGGCUUAACCGGAGUAGUGCAUUGGAAACUGGGAGACUUGAGUGCAGAAGAGGAGAGUGGAACUCCAUGUGUAGCGGUGAAAUGCGUAGAUAUAUGGAAGAACACCAGUGGCGAAAGCGGCUCUCUGGUCUGUAACUGACGCUGAGGUUCGAAAGCGUGGGUAGCAAACAGGA